AGAGUUUGAUCCUGGCUUAGGAUGAACGGCUGGCGGCGUGCCUAACACAUGCAAGUCGAGCGAUUUCUCGGAGAAGAGCGGCGGACGGGUGAGUAACGCGUGGGUAACCUGCCUCAUACACAUGGAUAACAGUACCGAAAGGUAUGCUAAUACAGGAUAAUAUAAGAGAUUCACAUGGAUUUCUUAUCAAAGCUCCGGCGGUAUGAGAUGGACCCGCGUCUGAUUAGCUAGUUGGUAGGGUAACGGCUUACCAAGGCGACGAUCAGUAGCCGACCUGAGAGGGUGAUCGGCCACAUUGGAACUGAGACACGGUCCAAACUCCUACGGGAGGCAGCAGUGGGGAAUAUUGCACAAUGGGCGAAAGCCUGAUGCCAGCAACGCCGCGUGAGUGAUGAAGGCCUUCGGGUCGUAAAACUCUGUCCUCAAGGAAGAUAAUGACGGUACUUGAGGAGGAAGCCCCGGCUAACUACGUGCCAGCAGCCGC
RNAcentral lists this ribosomal RNA (484 nucleotides) under uncultured bacterium. Its description in RNAcentral is "bacterial SSU rRNA". It matches the Rfam family "Bacterial small subunit ribosomal RNA", at positions 8 to 518 of the family's 1533-position model. The record is from RNAcentral.